CUUUAAGGUGAUGAGAAAGUUGUCGGAAAAUAUGAUGUUGAUUGAUAAAUACUUCCAGACUACAAUUAUCUGAUUAAUG
Non-coding RNA from Helianthus annuus (common sunflower), 79 nucleotides. NCBI's taxonomy places the organism in Eukaryota, Viridiplantae, Streptophyta, Magnoliopsida, Asterales, Asteraceae. The record is from Rfam.